Molecule: ribosomal RNA, 402 nt
Filed under: uncultured bacterium
Lineage: Bacteria
Description: bacterial SSU rRNA
Rfam family: Bacterial small subunit ribosomal RNA
Source: RNAcentral
AACGAACGCUGGCGGCGUGCCUAACACAUGCAAGUCGUGCGAGAAAGUUCCUUCGGGAGCGAGUAAAGCGGCGCACGGGUGAGUAACACGUAGGUAACCUGCCCCCCAGUCUGGAACAACUAGAGGAAACUCUAGCUAAUGCCGGAUGAGACCACGAUCCCUUCGGGGGUUGCGGCCAAAGAUGGCCUCUACUUGUAAGCUAUCGCUGAGGGAUGGGCCUGCGGGCCAUUAGCUUGUUGGUGAGGUAACGGCUCACCAAGGCUGUGAUGGCUAGCUGGUCUGAGAGGAUGACCAGCCACACUGGGACUGAGACACGGCCCAGACUCCUACGGGAGGCAGCAGUGGGGAAUAUUGCGCAAUGGGCGAAGACCUGACGCAGCGACGCCGCGUGGGUGAUGAAGG